UUGGACACCAAGAAAAUAUAAAGAAAUAAAUCUUUAGGAGGGGGUAAACCAAGGCAUGUUUGUCUCCCCUACUUCAGUAAAGGGAUGCUCUUGCUUCCCAAUCCUUUGAUUGGGUCUUCUUAGUUAUUGACCCCUGCGAAUUGCCCCAAAUCCUAUAGUAAAUUAGAAUGCUGAAUGACUAGUCCCCAGAUGCAAUUGGAUCUGCCCUUUCAAAGAUUAUAACGAACUAGCAUAGCAAAAUAUGUCUUUGUUCCCCUUUCUUUCCUUUACUUCUAAUAAUGUAACAUACAUAUAUUUGGGUAUGAUAUAAAGAUGCAAGGGAAAUAUUGGAUAUGUUUCUGUAAUCCAUCUCUUAUCUAGACUACAGUUGCCUCUUCAGUGCAUCCAUUGAAAAGGAGGGCAGAAGACUCUGACUGAGAGGACAAGAGAAAUUGCCUGGUAGGGUUCUUCUGCCUUGUCCUCGUCCCCCCCCCAGCACCUCACCAGUUGUGUUUAUUUGAAUAAUUGGGGUGGGUGUCAGAGAACCUUCCCUCUUGUAACCACCAAGCAUUCUUCACUGAACAAUACUUCUAAAAAUGGGGUAGGGCGGGCAAGAAGCAGUUUGUGAUUUUGGGGUGCGUGGAGGGAGGGGAAGGAAGGAGAAGAAUCCGCCAAAAGAGAUUCUCCAAGGUUGCUUGGAAGAUGAAGCUUCCCAAAGAGGAAAUCUCCAACCGCAACACAAUGAUAACAGAUUGAGACCUCCCAGGCCUUCUGAAAAUUCAUACAACCUCCCUGUCUACUCAGCAAUUUGCCCUCGAGGAGUCGGCCGUCUGAGUGGAAGGAGGCCAGCUUUGUGAAAUUGGAUUCGUCAGGAUUUUGCUUCAUUUUUUCCUACAGGUUUGAUGUCCAUUAGAGCGCCCAGAAUAAGCACUGACUUGAUAUGCCCAUGUCGAGCUUCCGUACAUGCCAUUGUUUGUGCCACACGAGUGCCAGAUUCACAGUUUUGUGGAGCUGAGGAUGAGAUAUUCUCAGUGGACUCUCUCCAAAUCCUCUCCUGCUUUUUCUGACCUCCCUGAGCAUUCAGAGAUGGAGAGAUGAGCCCUUUGACCUACCUUGCCAUCCAAUGGAGCCAGCUCUGGGUCUGAAAAAUGCAGUAUGAAGUAAUCGUAAGGAAAAGAGGGUUUCAAAGCAUGUGCAGAGUGCAUUUCCCACAGACCUAAUUAACCCUCUGUUAGGAAGAAGGACUCCCCUGUCAAUGACUUUCAGCUUGGCAUAAGCCCCAGCACUGAAAAGCUUCUGGGCUUGAACCUUGGUCAUUUGGGGCUGCAUUUGAGGAAUGAGGGAUUUAUGCAGUGGAGGGCCAGAAAAUAAUCAGGAUCACCUAAUCAUAUCUGGUAGCAGUCAAAGGCCUCUUGUAUGGGUGAGUACAUUAGCCAGCCUCAUUUUCCUGUGUGUGUAUAGAGCCCAGAAAUACAAGAAAAUGUGGUUUGAAACCAAGGAUCAUAAAAAGAUAGCUUGCUCUCCCCCCCCC
This is a non-coding RNA of Podarcis muralis (Common wall lizard), 1510 nucleotides long. The record is from RefSeq and is a predicted model, not a curated record. NCBI's taxonomy places the organism in Eukaryota, Metazoa, Chordata, Lepidosauria, Squamata, Lacertidae.